CGCCGUUCCAACCGCCAAGGGCCAAUGUGGGAAUGCAUGUUCUCCUGCACCAUUGAGAUGAUAUGAGGUGUCCAUGCAGCAGCAGCAACACCGGCAUCCUCCCUAAAGCCCCUCCGUCUCACUGACCUCAGGCUGACUGCACAGCUGGUUCCCAUGGGGAGAGGUCCCCCUCUGCAUGCUGUGUGAGCUCCCGGGGCUUGUUCCUGUUCAUUAGCUGAAUGCCAAUCCAUGUCCCCCAUUGGUCGAGAUCGAAGCGGAUCAAUGCAGAGGAGAGAUGAUGUAAUUUGUGUGAGGGAGAGAGAUAACGGUUGUAGCUGGAAGUGAGCCGGCUUUGCUUGCUCAUUGUGUCAUCUAUGUGGAUGUCGUGUAUGUCUGUGUGAGAGCACAGACAGACAGAGGAUGAGUGCUUUUGAACUGAAUCUGGAUUAAGGCCUCUGUGGGUGUUUAAUCUCAAAGGGCCCCAACCUGUAACCACACUGUUUGUUACAGGUAAUGCCUACUUUGUAGCCCUGCAUGGUCAAUGUUUCCCUGUGUCCAUGAUUACAUUUAAACCAAGUAAACCUCUUUGCUUAGCACUGAUGAACAGUUUCUUGCAGCAGGGAACAAAAAUCUUUGGGUAUGCCUGUGAGGAUUAGUCAUCCAGGUCAUUGUAUAUCCAUCUAGAAAAAUCUAUAAACUCAUCUGCUCCUUCAAAAAAAAAAAAAAAAACAGUGCAUUUUUCAUGGAAUAUAACCUUACUUAUUAGACACAUGCUGUUUGUUUGCCAUAUGAUUAAUAAACCAAUCAUAGUUUUUUUUCUUUCAAAUAUGUAGAUGAGAUUUGUUUUAGUUGGUGUUUACUGGGCUAAUGUUUGUAACCACACCUGUUGGACUGGAUUGUUGGACUCAUCAGCAGGAGCCCACAGGCAUGCUAGGCCCCUGAGCACCAGGAUCUUGUAAGCAAGUGUCUGUGCAAGUGUGCGCUUGUGAGUGUGCGUGUGUUUAGAUGUGUGUGUCAAUGCCUUGUU
Molecule: long non-coding RNA, 1006 nt
Organism: Lates calcarifer (barramundi perch)
Lineage: Eukaryota; Metazoa; Chordata; Actinopteri; Centropomidae
Exons: 3
Source: RefSeq, a predicted model, not a curated record